Molecule: ribosomal RNA, 482 nt
Filed under: uncultured bacterium
Lineage: Bacteria
Description: partial 16S ribosomal RNA
Rfam family: Bacterial small subunit ribosomal RNA
Source: RNAcentral
GACGAACGCUGGCGGCGUGCUUAACACAUGCCAGUCGAACGCUGAAGCUCAGCUUUUGUUGGGUGGAUGAGUGGCGAACGGGUGAGUAACACGUGAGUAACCUGCCCCCUUCUUUGGGAUAACGCCCGGAAACGGGUGCUAAUACUGGAUAUUCACUGGUCUUCGCAUGGGGGUUGGUGGAAAGGGUUUUUCUGGUGGGGAUGGGCUCGCGGCCUAUCAGCUUGUUGGUGGGGUGAUGGCCUACCAAGGCUUUGACGGGUAGCCGGCCUGAGAGGGUGACCGGUCACAUUGGGACUGAGAUACGGCCCAGACUCCUACGGGAGGCAGCAGUGGGGAAUAUUGCACAAUGGGCGCAAGCCUGAUGCAGCGACGCCGCGUGAGGGAUGGAGGCCUUCGGGUUGUGAACCUCUUUCGCUCAUGGUCAAGCCGCAACAAUGGUUGUGGUGAGGGUAGUGGGUAAAGAAGCGCCGGCUAACUACGUG